Molecule: non-coding RNA, 236 nt
Organism: Pelobates cultripes (western spadefoot toad)
Lineage: Eukaryota; Metazoa; Chordata; Amphibia; Anura; Pelobatidae
Source: the annotation of a GenBank genome assembly
GGGCAUUAUUCUAGGGCCAAAGGGAAUCACAGCACCACGACCACGAUGGCCCCUGCGGGGUGGCCUGCCUCUGCCUGUCAUUUUUGUUGGGAUUAGUGGUACUAUGCGUGCAAGCUACCGUGAGACCAGAUAUGAGUGGCAAUGUGCACUGGCACAGUUGUGCAGAGCACAGGCUGUAGGCCUGACACCCGCUUGAAGAUAACUAACUGCUAUUCAAUCUAUAACAGUGAAAAAAG